CAUCCCACGCCAUGUCUAAAAAAACACUCAACGCCUGAUCGAUCCAGAUCCCCAAUCCCGUCUCCGCUCCCACCUCCUCUCCUCCCCUCCCAAGUCCCAACCCUCCAUGGAGGGGGGAGCCGCCGGCGCAGGCCCCGCCCCCCAGAGCCGCCGCCGCCUCCGGCUCCGGCGGUGGCGGGGAGAAGGGCGCCCCGUGCCAGGAGUGCGGGGAGCAGCCGUGGAAGUACCGGUGCCCGGGCUGCUCCCGCCUCACCUGCAGCCUCCCCGGCGUGCAGGCCCACAAGCGCCCCCGCACCGUCCCCGUCCCGCUCGCCCAGUUCGACGACAACCAGCUCCUCUCCGAUUACAACUUGCUGGAGGAGACGAGCAUGGUCAGGGAGUCGGCCCACAGGCUGCUCGGCGGCUUCGGCCGCAACUUCGGCUGCGGCAUCGAGGAACGCCAUGGCGCGCAGCUGCCGCCGUGGCUCACCUUCCUCCGCAAGGCCGCGGAGCGCCGGGGUGUCCGGCUGGCCGUCCAAACCUGAAUUUUCCAUGGACCAUGUUUGUAACUUGUAUGUGUUGCUUUUGUUGCUUCAGUCUUCAGUUUACCAGGAGAUACUAGUGGUCAAUGUACCAGGUUGCUUGUUUCUACCGGGAUAAGUGUGAGGCAUACAUUCCUGCCGGUGUUGGCGGCUCGAUCAGGUCGGGGGGCAUCGGUCGCCGAGGCCGAGAAGACCGGGCUGUCGUUGGAUAGCUUCAAGACAACCGUUGUCAAACGCGACGACGAAAACAUCCAUGUAAGAUUGUUUGUGAACUCUGCCAAGCCAUGUUAAAUUAAAGCUGUCAACUCAGGAACAAAAAAAUUGGGUCCUGGUGAUAUAUAAGGAAGUCAAUUAAAAUAUUUUUCAUUAACCAUUUGUAGUAGUAUAGAUUUCUUAAAGGAUUAAACAAAAAUCUCCUAUGUCUAGAACUAGAAGACAUCUUAGAAAAUUAGGAUACAGAGCUAGAAGGAUGCACAACUUCAGGAAACAACAAUUAUUAUAUUUUAAGGUUGUAAAGGUUGUAUGUUGCGUUGUACUCUUGCCCGAGCUUAAUCAGUGGCCGCUCCGCCCACCGGCCGUUGGCCAGAGGUGAGUUAUUCUCAGCUAAGAGCACGGAUUCCUUUCAGGGAUGCAAAUUGGGAAGCUUUUGUUCUUCAGAUAUGCAAAAUUAUUCAUUGUUCAUCGGUUGCUUAGGGGAACAUGGUUACCUUGAUGAGUUUUCUCUGUUUCAACCAUACAACUCAUCUAGCAUACGGUAUCGUCGUUGCAACCUUUCAAUUUGGUAACUUGGAAGUAGUUUACAGUUACUGUAUUGUGAGUAUGGUGACCUGAAAAUAAGGUAGCAAAUUACUAUAGAUACUACUUCAAAACCAUGUACUCCUACUCACUAUUUCUAUGUGUCAUGUGUACUACCAACUUACUGAUGUUUCUUUAAUUCCCACAGUCUACAAAAUUCAUGCUUGCUACUGUAUGUUUGUGCCCCUAGCUUGCAUGUUGAUGUUGUAUGUGCAUGGUGGUGGCCUCCUUCCUGUUGUUAUUUGCUCCAUAUUGAGAAUUGUUUUGUAAAAGAUAAUGAGAUGGACGCAGUUAGGAGAUGAUGCUAGCAAGUUCAAACUCUCUUGAAUGGAUAGAUCAUAGUGCAGUUAGGAGAAGUGAUGUUAUGAAUAUGUUGUAUGCAAGUUCAGUGUGUAUUAGAAAAAGUUCAGCAUUAAAUUAUAUAGCAAAGACUCAGUUAGGUUACAUUAGGAGCCAUGAAAAUUAACUAAAAAAGUAAAAACAGAGGAGAGGGUCCAGUGAGUAGCUGGGUCCCUAGCAACCAAAAGAAAAAAGAGCAAAACAGAGACCAAUUACUUACUGUUAAUUGUCUUAUCUUGUGAUGUACGUCAUGCAAUUUUCUGUUCAGCAAACUGCUUGACCAAUAUUAAUUAUUUAGUAGGCUAUAUUAGUAAUUUGAUUUUUCUUGUUUUGUGCAGUUUGAAGAAAUUCAUGGUUAUUUACAGUUUUGAGUUAGAUUUAUUCCAUUUGAAAUGAGGGCAUAUAUACUUGAUUGGGCAUACGGAAUCUUACUAGCUUCUAAAUCCGCUGAGCUGUACUGAUGAUCUGUUUUUGCUACUCACACAUUUUAUCCAAAGGAUCCUUAUGUCAAAACGAUGGCCACUUCUAGGUUGCUGAAGGAGGGAGCUGGCCUUCUUCACGUCUCGGGGCAGUGUCUUCCUUGGAUUCAACAAGGAGGGGACCCGGCCUUCUUCAUGUAUUGUGCAAUAAGGGUGAUCGACGCAGACUACCACAACCAGGUGGGUGUCGUGCUCUUCAACCACUCGGAGGCGGACUUCGCCGUGAAGCUCGGAGACUGCAUCGCGCAGAUAAUCGUCUAGGUGAUUGCGUCGCCGGAGGUCGCCGAGGUGGAGGACCUCAAUGCCACCGCCAGGAGGGAGGGAGGGUUCGGGUCCACCGGCGUUUGAACUCCGAGCCUUGGUAGAUACAUCUAGAGAAGUGGUCUGGUUGUUUGCGUCUGAUGUUAAAUGGGAUCUCAUGAUCCCUUGGAGUUGAGAUGUUCAAUGUUGCAGCCAUGAACGCUGGAAGUGCUAAACUGGUUCUGUGACCUUAGUUUAUUUUGCAUUGGACGUGUGUUGAUUUCCAUCCAUCAA
Molecule: long non-coding RNA, 2668 nt
Organism: Triticum aestivum (bread wheat)
Lineage: Eukaryota; Viridiplantae; Streptophyta; Magnoliopsida; Poales; Poaceae
Exons: 6
Source: RefSeq, a predicted model, not a curated record